Molecule: ribosomal RNA, 315 nt
Filed under: Phasianus colchicus (ring-necked pheasant)
Lineage: Eukaryota; Metazoa; Chordata; Aves; Galliformes; Phasianidae
Description: partial 12S ribosomal RNA
Rfam family: Bacterial small subunit ribosomal RNA
Source: RNAcentral
UCCGCCUGAGAACUACUAGCACAAACGCUUAAAACUCUAAGGACUUGGCGGUGCCCCAAACCCACCUAGAGGAGCCUGUUCUAUAAUCGAUAAUCCACGAUCCACCCAACCACCCCUUGCCAACACAGCCUACAUACCGCCGUCGCCAGCCACACUCUAAAUGAAAGGCCAACAGUGAGCUCAACAGUACCACCACUAGCAAGACAGGUCAAGGUCAUAGCCCAUGGGGUGGAAGAAAUGGGCUACAUUUUCUAAUAUACAAUAAACGAAAAAGGACGUGAAACCCGUCCCUUGGAAGGAGGAUUUAGCCAGUAA